Molecule: unclassified non-coding RNA, 1380 nt
Filed under: Hevea brasiliensis (rubber tree)
Lineage: Eukaryota; Viridiplantae; Streptophyta; Magnoliopsida; Malpighiales; Euphorbiaceae
Source: RNAcentral
GAUUGAAGAGGCAAGAGGAGAAAAAAAGAGAACAUACAUUAUAUCGCUAUCCCUCACUGACACACCUCCUUCUCCAGUCUCCGCAUCCUCUGCGGCCGCCACCCGCCACUCACCAGAACCAUGUUCCGGCAAGCAUCGCGCAUCUUCGCUCGAUCCAUCAAUCAACAGCCAAAGAUGAUGGGUCGAGCCUUCUCGACGGAUGUACCAGCCACACCCACCGUCGAUUCAACCUUCGUAGAAUCAUGGAAGAAGGUGAUACCGAACAUGGAACCGCCCAAAACUCCGUCAGCCUUUAUGAACCCUCGUCCUCCUACUCCAUCAACCAUUCCAUCUAAGCUCACUGUCAAUUUUGUGCUUCCCUAUGCAUCUGAGCUCUCCACCAAGGAGGUUUGAUUUCUUGAAUUUUGACCUUUUAUGGGUCUUUAUUUUAUCUGGGUUUUGCUUGGAUUUAGAGAUUGUGGUAUUUUGUUUGAUGAAGUUCGUUUCUUAUGAUAAAUUUCCAUGUCUGCAUUUGUCUGUAAUGUUGAUCCAUUCUUGACAUUUGAUUGAAGUUAUUAAAUAAGCGGGGAAAUGGUGUGAAUAUUGACUUAUAAUUCAUCUGAUUGGACUUUGGAUUAUAGUUCAGAUUAUUCCUGGUUAUUGCGAUGUACAGUUGAUAUGAACUCAAGUUGAACCAGUGAGGAACGAGCCACUUAGGUAGAACUCACCCCUGAAAACCAGCUUUCCUAGAGGCUUAUUAAGCUCUCACCAAGGAUUCAUGACUUUUUAAUUGUAAUUUCUUCUAGGCUUUGCUUGAAUUUGUAGCUGAAUGAAUUAUAAUGUUUUCAUCUUGUUUCUUGAUUGAUUAUUUUCAUAAUUAAGUUUAAAGUUGAGUUUUAGUUGAAAAAAGAAGGAUUUAUUUUAAGAGUAGUUAUGCUUUAUGGGCAAUUGGGCAUUAAACUGUCUUCUAAUAAUAUGCCUUUUACAUAACUGUUAUGCUUGUUCGAGCAAUGUAAAACCUCUUGUUGGAUCAGCUCUUGAUCAUGAUUUGGUAACUGCAUUAACAAGGACAACAUAAAAUUUCUCAGAAUAUGUGUGUGUACUCUUUUCUUUCAUAUAUUUUACUUGUAGGAUAUAGCAAGGUGUAUCUUCACUAUUAAUAAGAUGAUGUUGAAGGUUUACCUUGUCUAAUGCCUGGAUUUUUUAAAUUCUCUGUACUGUUGAAGGAAGUCUUUUCUCAUUGUUGUUUAGGUGAUGUUGGCUUGUACAAAUGUUGACUUGUGAUGAUGCCAAAUAUUUAGGAUGACGUUGAACAAAGGUGACAGAUUGGCCCACCUAUCUCAUCUCAUGGUCUAAGAUCUUCACGUGCUCAUAAUCCUGUUUUUUUAAUCUUCUUUUUUU